RNAcentral lists this ribosomal RNA (465 nucleotides) under uncultured bacterium. RNAcentral describes it as "partial 16S ribosomal RNA". It matches the Rfam family "Bacterial small subunit ribosomal RNA", at positions 338 to 795 of the family's 1533-position model. The record is from RNAcentral.
CCUACGGGAGGCAGCAGUGGGGAAUAUUGCGCAAUGGGCGAAAGCCUGACGCAGCGACGCCGCGUGAGGGAUGAAGGUCUUCGGAUCGUAAACCUCUGUCAGCAGGGAAGUACGGUCACUGUGCUAAUCAUCAGUGAAUUGACGGUAUCUGCAAAGGAAGCACCGGCUAACUCCGUGCCAGCAGCCGCGGUAAUACGGAGGGUGCGAGCGUUAAUCGGAAUUACUGGGCGUAAAGCGCUCGUAGGCGGUAUGUCAAGUCAAGGGUGAAAGCCCCGCGCUCAACGUGGGAACUGCCUUUGAAACUGGCAGACUGGAGUGUGUGAGAGGAUAGUGGAAUUCCAGGUGUAGGAGUGAAAUCCGUAGAUAUCUGGAGGAACAUCAGUGGCGAAGGCGACUAUCUGGCACAUAACUGACGCUGAGGCCCGAAGGCGUGGGGAGCAAACAGGAUUAGAUACCCCUGUAGUC